CCCUAUGGGGCGCAGGACAGCGGCUUUUGCUACAUGAUGUAUAAAUGCCUGUCCGAAACCUUUGAAAACGGGGGUGUCUGGAAUAGAGAGGUUCAUAUCCUCGAUGUGGAUGAAGACUAUAUGCCCAAAAUCACUUAUAAAAUCAAACUGAACCAUACCUGCCGUGAAAAAGUUAAAGUUAUAGCCGGAGUUUCCACCGACACCACCGAUGCGGCCCCGGCAUGGCUGAUGGAAUGCCCGAUCAUCGACUACCAGGGCUCCUACCACUAUAUGCAGGGCCAUGAUACGGCCGAUUCGCAGAAGACACUGGAGUUCGGGCUCGAUGUGACCCCGUUGCUGUGCCAUUUGAAACCCGGUGAGCCGGCGAGGUUCUUUUUUGUUGUCGACGAAAAUGAUCCUGAUUUUGAAGGAAUUGGCGGGGGAGC
Molecule: ribosomal RNA, 425 nt
Filed under: uncultured prokaryote
Description: partial 16S ribosomal RNA
Source: RNAcentral